AGAAAAAGGGCAAUGGGUAUAGGUGAACAAUAGAAAACUGGCUCUGCUACAGCAGAUGCUGUAAAAAUGAAAGUUAAAAAUCAUUCACAUCAAGUGAUUUCUUUAACGUUUAAAGGUUAAUGGAAUUUUUCUUAGUUUUAUUUUUUUUCUGCAAGGUUUCAGAUAAUGGGAGCAUUCAAACAGAAAUGAGGAGUACAUCAGUUCAGUCUACCAGUAGUCCCAAUGACAUUACUUCUGGGUCAUGGUUUCCUGGCAUUGACCCUUCCAAUUUGGCUUCUUCUUAAGGGUUCAUUUUGAGCCAGUCUGUUGUUUGACUCCAGUCUGAAAAGACCUUAUUGAUAUUUUGUUGUUUUUCCAUCUUUUAUACAGGGUUCACCUUCAAGGUACUCCAACACCUUGUCUUGUCUUAUAUCUUACAAGUGAUAUGUGCUGUGUGGUGUGCAAAUCCAUAUACUGAGCAUUUGUAAAAUUUAAAAAUACUUUGAGAAUUUGUUUAAAAAUUGGUUUAGACUACAUGUUUAUAUGAUAGUUAGUUAAUGAGCAAUAUUUGAAAGUGUUCAGCUCUUUUUGAAUCACUUUGUAUUAAAAAACAAACAUUAUCAAACUUCAUAAAGCACACUGCAAACCCCUUUUCUGCAUUUAGGCACUAGGACCUUCCUUCUGCCAUCCCCUUAUCCUAGAGGACUAUUUUUAAAGACUUCUCCUGACACACCAGCACAAAAAUUUUAAAUUUAUAGAGCACCUAUAUAUCACAUAAACAUAUUUCUAUGGGACUAUCAGAUGAUCCACUAUGCCAUUGUUUGUUACAGUCAGCACUCAGUGAAGAGCACUGCACAAAAAUCAACUGAUUUGAACUGAAUGACCUUGCAUCAUUCCUCUACAUGUUUUGAGACCAUUCUUAUAUCCUUUCAUUUCAAUCAUUAAUCUGGAAUCUUCUUUAGUAAUACUUCUAUUUACAUUCCAUUGUCUCUUCACAUCUCAUUUCUUUUGCACUUCUCUGCUCUUCCUCCUACUCAUCU
This is a long non-coding RNA of Erpetoichthys calabaricus (reedfish), 1019 nucleotides long. RefSeq lists it as uncharacterized. The transcript has 2 exons. The record is from RefSeq and is a predicted model, not a curated record. Lineage: Eukaryota; Metazoa; Chordata; Cladistia; Polypteriformes; Polypteridae.